Molecule: long non-coding RNA, 1659 nt
Filed under: Actinidia chinensis (golden kiwifruit)
Lineage: Eukaryota; Viridiplantae; Streptophyta; Magnoliopsida; Ericales; Actinidiaceae
Description: long non-coding RNA (ACHI_LNC006200)
Source: RNAcentral
UUUAACCUGUAGAAUAAUGAAUAAUCCUGUUCAGAAACAAAAACAAGAAAAAGAAAAAUGCGUAUUCCUCCUCUCUCUCUCUCUCCACAACUGGUAUAAUCCCAAACACCAUCCCCAAGUCCCCACCCAUCCACCACCACCACCCUCCCACUGUCGCCAGCACCACUUCACCACCCUUACAACAAUAGAUUCAUACAAUCAAAACUUAAACCCAAAAAAUCAACUAUUAAAUAACCUAACCCUAUAUCUAGACACAGCAUGCAUACCUAAUUAAGGAGUUGAUUUGACUGAGAGCGAGCGAGCGAGGGGAGAGAGAGAGAUGGAAGUUCCACCAUCGCUGGGGUUUGGCUCAUGGCCGGCCGACACCGUAAUUGAUUGCUCAGAACCAACACCAAUCUCUCUCUAUUCCACAAUUGAUGGCUCCCGAUCUUCUCUCCCUCUCAUCCCUCUUUCUCCCUGUGGUGUGGGCUAUUUUGAUGUGCGCGCGUGCGUGUACAGAUCUGUCAUAUAUAGAGAGAGAGAAAAACAGAGGUAGAUCAGGGAUUUUAUGAAAACCAAAACCCUAAUUAAGGAGAUAAUUAAGGAGAUAGAGAUUAGAAAAAGAUGGGAAAGAAGAUAGAUUAAAGAUAUAUCCACCACCGUCGGCCAAUUGGAACCACCGCAGCACCUUUGCCACAGCCAAUUGCAGCCGCUGCCACCGCGCUUCCAAUUGCUGUUAGAAUUUUGUGUGAAUGAAAGCCUAAAAAUGAGUAAUAUUAAUAACUCCUAAAUGAGUUAUUGUAAAACCAAAGAGCAUCUGCUUUGCAGCCCUAAUGAUUGCAUUAUUUAGGUCAUAACAUGCCUCUUGUGGCUGUCAUGAUGGGCAGCCAUAAUCUCCUCUGAUGGUGGUUUGGCCAGAAGUUACAAAGAUUAAAUAGGGCAUUUGGUGACCUAUAAAUGCUGGGACUUUGCACUGAAGAAAAAUACACCAACAAAAACACACAGACACAACAUUUGAGUUUUUGAGAGAGAGAGACAAAUCAUUUUCGUUUGCCAAGACUUCUUAGAGGUGUUCCUAAAUAGUGUUCUAGCCGUUUUUAUCCUGGGAGGAAGAACGUCGACAAUACCCUACACAAACCCUCGGUAGGCGUAUAUAAUCGUUUCUUAAGGAGACCUGCGAUUUGGCAGGCCUCGGCAUACUUGUUUGAUAAUAUAGUUCUUUCUAUUUUUAGUUUUCUGUAAUUUUAACUUCUGUAAUUUAGUUUGAUUAUGAAAAUUAUUCUUUAAAUUCUGUAUUGGCCGAUCAUUUUUUUUUCACAACAAUCUUAGAAAUAUUCUGUUUUGGAUCUUGUGAUCGGCAAUCGCAUUUCAGAAAUAAUUUCUGUUCAUUUUAAUGUGAGAUCAGAUCUAUACUGUAAAGAGAAGGUUUGGUAUUCUUUGAUUAUAUCCAGAUCUAUACAUGAAGAAAGUGAGACAAAGGAAGGGAAAAAAAAUUAUUUUCAGAAUCUAUUUAUGAAAAAUAACAGUUCUGUUUGAAAAAAAAAAUUCCAGUUAUAGAAAUUGAUUUCAAUUAUUGUGGAAUCCAGAUUUCAGUUAAAUUUUUUUUCAGAAUACUAGUUUCUAUAUAUUUUAUUUAAGAAAAAAAAUAUUCGAAACUUACCAGAAAAACACUUGGGUCGG